AUUGAACGCUGGCGGCAGGCCUAACACAUGCAAGUCGAGCGGAUGAAGGGAGCUUUCUCCUGGAUUCAGCGUCGGACGGGUGAGUAAUGCCUAGGAAUCUGCCUGGUAGUGGGUGAUAAUGUCCGGAAACGGGCGCUACUACCGCAUACUUCCUGAUGCUGAAAGUUGGUGAUCUUCGGACCUCACGCUAUCAUAUGAGCCUAGGUCGGAUUAGAUAGUUGGUGGGUUAAAGGCCUACCAAGGCGACGAUCCGUAACUGGUCUGAGAGGAUGAUAAGUCACACUGGAACUGAGACACGGUCAAGACGACUAAGGGAGGCAGCAGUGGGGAAUAUUGGACAAAGGGCGAAAGUAUGAUACAGCCAGGCCGAGUGUGUGAAGAAGGUCUUCGGAUUGUAAAGAACUUCAAGUUGGGAGGAAGGGCAGUAAGUUAAUACCUAGCUGGUUUGACGUUAACAACAGAAUAAGCACCGGCUAACUUCGUG
Molecule: ribosomal RNA, 484 nt
Filed under: uncultured bacterium
Lineage: Bacteria
Description: partial 16S ribosomal RNA
Rfam family: Bacterial small subunit ribosomal RNA
Source: RNAcentral